CUUGUUUGCUUGAGUUAAAAUGCAUAAUUGAUGCAAAUUGAUCACGACAUAAAGAUAGGAGAAAAGAAAAGUAAGAAUUUAUAUGCAAAAAGGUCGAAUACAUGAAUCACCACCUCUGAUCUUGCCAAUUUUCACAACAAAUAUUUCUUCUCAUCUCACAAUGUUUCCUCACCUCUCAUUCUCAUUCCUUCAAUUCACCACACAAGAAUCUUCAAUCCCCAUAUACUACCAAAAAAAAACACAAGUAAUCUGUGUAUGCAAUACCAAUAUAUUAGCUUUAUUUAGAGCCGAAUGAUCAUACCCGCACUAACACACUAUGUUUCAUUUUAAUUAAAUCGUUAUAGACACUUAUAAAACAGUAACAAAAACAUAGACAUAAGAAAGUCCUAACCUAAUCAGCAAGUUCAACUUCAUUCUUCAAAAUCAAGUCAUCCUCUAUCAUUUUUAAAUCAUAUAUCAAACAUAUUUAGUGAAUACACAAGCACUUAAUAGCUACAUUUUCAAUAUGUUGUAAUACACGAUUAUAUACCACCCUCAAAAACUACAAAUAGGAUAAUUUAAAGCACAAUUUACCUAAAACAUGGUACAUCUGGAUUGCGGUACCAGUAUAGGUACAAAAUACAGUAUAAAAAUUUCAAGAAAAAUUUUGAUGAUAUAGGAGAGAAAAAGAAAAAGAAAAAUAGGCUGUUCAAACACUACAUUUCUCUUCAACGUCAUCAGUAGAAGAGAACAUCAGCAUGUAUGCGGUGCAUAGUCAAGCAUCUUUAAAAGGGUCAAUCUAUUUCUACUAGUACAUCUGGAUUGUGGUACCAGUAUAGGUACAAAAUACAGUAUAAAAAUUUGAAGAAAAAUUUUGAUUAUAUAGAAGAGAAAAAGAGAAAGAAAAAUAGGUUGUUGGAACACUUGCAUUUCUCUUCAAGGUCAUCAGUAGAAGAGAACAUCACUAUGUAUGAGGUGCAUAGUCAAGCAUCCUUCAAAAAGGUCAAUCUAUUUCUACCGGUACAUCUAGAUUGUGGUACCAAUAUAGGUACAAAAUACAGUAUAAAAAUUUGAAGAAAAAUUUUGAUGAUAUAGGAGAGAAAAAGAGAAAGAAAAAUAGGUUGUUGGAACACUUGCAUUUCUCUUCAAGGUCAUCAGUAAAAGAGAACAUCAUCAUGCAAGCGGUGCAUAGUCAAGCAUCCUUAAAAGGGCCAAUCUACUUCUACUUAUGACACCAUAAAACACAAGAAAGAAGAUUCGUAAGUACAAAAACUGGCCAAACAAACAGGAAAUCUUGGACAUUAACUGAGCCAGACUAGAACUCACAAGGAAUCUUUGGUUUAAGCUUUUUGACAAGCAAAUCUGACAGUACUAUCUACAACAUUGCAUGCUCUCAUCCACAAUAAAAACAAAUUCGCUAUUUCAUUGUAGUCACCUUUUAUAUGGUAUUUUAUGAGAUUAUGACGAUGGCUGUGCAGGCAUGAUAAAAAAGGAGAUUCUAUAACAUUCUAACUUAAAGAAAACUNNNN
This 1508-nucleotide long non-coding RNA is filed under the name Carica papaya (papaya). RNAcentral describes it as "long non-coding RNA (CPAP_LNC009724)". Lineage: Eukaryota; Viridiplantae; Streptophyta; Magnoliopsida; Brassicales; Caricaceae. The record is from RNAcentral.